RNAcentral lists this ribosomal RNA (2900 nucleotides) under Klebsiella pneumoniae. RNAcentral describes it as "bacterial LSU rRNA". It matches the Rfam family "Bacterial large subunit ribosomal RNA". The record is from RNAcentral. Lineage: Bacteria; Pseudomonadati; Pseudomonadota; Gammaproteobacteria; Enterobacterales; Enterobacteriaceae.
UUAAGCGACUAAGCGUACACGGUGGAUGCCCUGGCAGUCAGAGGCGAUGAAGGACGUGCUAAUCUGCGAAAAGCGUCGGUAAGGUGAUAUGAACCGUUACAGCCGGCGAUGUCCGAAUGGGGAAACCCAGUGUGAUUCGUCACACUAUCGUUAACUGAAUACAUAGGUUAACGAGGCGAACCGGGGGAACUGAAACAUCUAAGUACCCCGAGGAAAAGAAAUCAACCGAGAUUCCCCCAGUAGCGGCGAGCGAACGGGGAGCAGCCCAGAGUCUGAAUCAGCUUGUGUGUUAGUGGAACGGUCUGGAAAGUCCGACGGUACAGGGUGAUAGUCCCGUACACCAAAAUGCACAGGCUGUGAACUCGAAGAGUAGGGCGGGACACGUGGUAUCCUGUCUGAAUAUGGGGGGACCAUCCUCCAAGGCUAAAUACUCCUGACUGACCGAUAGUGAACCAGUACCGUGAGGGAAAGGCGAAAAGAACCCCGGCGAGGGGAGUGAAAAAGAACCUGAAACCGUGUACGUACAAGCAGUGGGAGCACCUUCGGGUGUGACUGCGUACCUUUUGUAUAAUGGGUCAGCGACUUAUAUUCUGUAGCAAGGUUAACCGUAUAGGGGAGCCGCAGGGAAACCGAGUCUUAACUGGGCGUUAAGUUGCAGGGUAUAGACCCGAAACCCGGUGAUCUAGCCAUGGGCAGGUUGAAGGUUGGGUAACACUAACUGGAGGACCGAACCGACUAAUGUUGAAAAAUUAGCGGAUGACUUGUGGCUGGGGGUGAAAGGCCAAUCAAACCGGGAGAUAGCUGGUUCUCCCCGAAAGCUAUUUAGGUAGCGCCUCGUGAAUUCAUCUUCGGGGGUAGAGCACUGUUUCGGCUAGGGGGUCAUCCCGACUUACCAACCCGAUGCAAACUACGAAUACCGAAGAAUGUUAUCACGGGAGACACACGGCGGGUGCUAACGUCCGUCGUGAAGAGGGAAACAACCCAGACCGCCAGCUAAGGUCCCAAAGUCAUGGUUAAGUGGGAAACGAUGUGGGAAGGCACAGACAGCCAGGAUGUUGGCUUAGAAGCAGCCAUCAUUUAAAGAAAGCGUAAUAGCUCACUGGUCGAGUCGGCCUGCGCGGAAGAUGUAACGGGGCUAAACCAUGCACCGAAGCUGCGGCAGCGACACUAUGUGUUGUUGGGUAGGGGAGCGUUCUGUAAGCCUGCGAAGGUGACCUGUGAGGGUUGCUGGAGGUAUCAGAAGUGCGAAUGCUGACAUAAGUAACGAUAAAGCGGGUGAAAAGCCCGCUCGCCGGAAGACCAAGGGUUCCUGUCCAACGUUAAUCGGGGCAGGGUGAGUCGACCCCUAAGGCGAGGCCGAAAGGCGUAGUCGAUGGGAAACAGGUUAAUAUUCCUGUACUUGGUGUUACUGCGAAGGGGGGACGGAGAAGGCUAUGUUAGCCGGGCGACGGUUGUCCCGGUUUAAGCAUGUAGGCUGGUUAUCCAGGCAAAUCCGGAUAAUCAAGGCUGAGGUGUGAUGACGAGGCACUACGGUGCUGAAGUAACAAAUGCCCUGCUUCCAGGAAAAGCCUCUAAGCAUCAGGUAACAUUAAAUCGUACCCCAAACCGACACAGGUGGUCAGGUAGAGAAUACCAAGGCGCUUGAGAGAACUCGGGUGAAGGAACUAGGCAAAAUGGUGCCGUAACUUCGGGAGAAGGCACGCUGGUGUGUAGGUGAAGUCCCUGCGGAUGGAGCUGAGACCAGUCGAAGAUACCAGCUGGCUGCAACUGUUUAUUAAAAACACAGCACUGUGCAAACACGAAAGUGGACGUAUACGGUGUGACGCCUGCCCGGUGCCGGAAGGUUAAUUGAUGGGGUUAUCCGUAAGGAGAAGCUCUUGAUCGAAGCCCCGGUAAACGGCGGCCGUAACUAUAACGGUCCUAAGGUAGCGAAAUUCCUUGUCGGGUAAGUUCCGACCUGCACGAAUGGCGUAAUGAUGGCCAGGCUGUCUCCACCCGAGACUCAGUGAAAUUGAACUCGCUGUGAAGAUGCAGUGUACCCGCGGCAAGACGGAAAGACCCCGUGAACCUUUACUAUAGCUUGACACUGAACAUUGAGCCUUGAUGUGUAGGAUAGGUGGGAGGCUUUGAAGCGUGGACGCCAGUCUGCGUGGAGCCGACCUUGAAAUACCACCCUUUAAUGUUUGAUGUUCUAACGUUGGCCCCUUACCGGGGUUGCGGACAGUGUCUGGUGGGUAGUUUGACUGGGGCGGUCUCCUCCCAAAGCGUAACGGAGGAGCACGAAGGUUAGCUAAUCCUGGUCGGACAUCAGGAGGUUAGUGCAAUGGCAUAAGCUAGCUUGACUGCGAGCGUGACGGCGCGAGCAGGUGCGAAAGCAGGUCAUAGUGAUCCGGUGGUUCUGAAUGGAAGGGCCAUCGCUCAACGGAUAAAAGGUACUCCGGGGAUAACAGGCUGAUACCGCCCAAGAGUUCAUAUCGACGGCGGUGUUUGGCACCUCGAUGUCGGCUCAUCACAUCCUGGGGCUGAAGUAGGUCCCAAGGGUAUGGCUGUUCGCCAUUUAAAGUGGUACGCGAGCUGGGUUUAGAACGUCGUGAGACAGUUCGGUCCCUAUCUGCCGUGGGCGCUGGAGAAUUGAGGGGGGCUGCUCCUAGUACGAGAGGACCGGAGUGGACGCAUCACUGGUGUUCGGGUUGUCAUGCCAAUGGCACUGCCCGGUAGCUAAAUGCGGAAGAGAUAAGUGCUGAAAGCAUCUAAGCACGAAACUUGCCCCGAGAUGAGUUCUCCCUGAGACUUUAAGUCUCCUGAAGGAACGUUGAAGACGACGACGUUGAUAGGCCGGGUGUGUAAGCGCAGCGAUGCGUUGAGCUAACCGGUACUAAUGAACCGUGAGGCUUAACCUU